Molecule: ribosomal RNA, 321 nt
Filed under: uncultured Proleptomonas
Lineage: Eukaryota; Cercozoa; Glissomonadida
Description: partial small subunit ribosomal RNA
Rfam family: Eukaryotic small subunit ribosomal RNA (bases 114-321)
Source: RNAcentral
GAUUUCUGGUUAGAUUCGCCUGGCCCGCCACGGUGACGUGUGUGAGUGCUGGGUCGAAUCUGCCAUCCUUCGUUUAUGACUGGUUGCUCUUUAUUGAGUGCCAGCUCGUGAACGAUCGUUUACUUUGAAAAAAUUAGAGUGUUUCAAGCAGGCUUUAGCUUUGAAUACAUGAGCAUGGAAUAAUAAAGUAGGACUUCGGUUCUAGUUUGUUGGUUUGGAGAGCUGAAGUAAUGAUGGAUAGGGACAGUUGGGGGUGCUAGUAUUCAGCGGCCAGAGGUGAAAUUCUUGGAUUCGCUGAAGACUCACUACGGCGAAAGCAUU